CUUAACGUCCCUCUCUACUUAGCUAUAUAUUUUAGCAUGCUAUGCUCUCAAAUGACAAGCUGGCCAAUGUUGCAGGUCGCACACAUUCCAACUAUCUUGUUAUAUCCCACAUUACACUCCUUAUUUUUCAUAACCAUGCAAUGCUCCCUACUUCUGCAUUAUUGAGGAACUGCAUUUAAUUAGAUGUGAUGUGUCUUGCAUUUCCACCACACGGUCUUUCACUGGGGAUCUUUGUACUUGGCCUAUACAAUAGAUUCACAAUGUGCCAUCCAAAUUUAAAGACCAAUAUGUGUUUUGGGUUCAGGCUGCAUGCAGCCCUGUGGAUUAUUUUAUGGAGCAAAGGGGCAUGGCAGUUAUACUUUGCUUCAUCUCAACAGACCAGGACUGCUCAGUGGCAUUAACAGGCAUUUAUAUUGUACAACAUGACUGUCUACUUUUUCCUUUAAAGCCAUGACCUCUCUUCUUAUCCCCCCCCCCCUUUUGCUUUCCCACAAAUAAUACAGUCUACUCUAAAAUGUCAUGGGUAGAGGUAACAAAAAAAACUUAAUCUCUGAUCUGUCAUAUGAGCUGGAGAUUCAUUACCAGGGAUAGAUUUUACUUUGCCUGUAAUAUGCAACUAAACACAUUAACUUGGGAAUCUCUUCCUUGUCCAACUGAGGCAAGCAGCAAAGUGUGAGUUAAUAGAAGACAAAAUACCUUUUAGAAGCCACCAGCUUACAUGCUUGCUUAGUUUACCAUUGCAAGCCUAUUGACUGAUGUGUGCAUCAAUCAAUACAGUGUUAACUGGAGAACCAAAGAUUCCUCCCCUCCACCAUAGACCAGAGAAUGAGGUGAUAGAAAAUACUUCAGCAUGGGCUUAUUUUCUCUGCAGCUUUUUAAGACAGGCUAAAGCCACCAUGGUACCCAUCCCCAAUUACUGGCUUGGGCAAAUGAGUGUUUGAGUCCAGCAGUGUCUUGACUUCCCCUGUUUUAAUACGCGGACUGAUGUUUUCUCUGCAAAACCUGGAGGGUUCAAUCAAAAACUUUGACUUCACCCCCCUCCACUCCAAAGGUGCACUUCUCCAUUGUCUCCUAAGACAGACGGAUGCCAUCAACAAAACCAAUCAUCAAAAACAAUGGGGUUCUAGAGAUAAAGGGACAACUUUUCAGUGCAAACUGAACAAUACAUUGCAGAUUUGUGUGUUGUAGAGAGCAUGGUACAAUAUUCCCACAGGAGAAGAGGGACUGUGGAUUUUAUUAGAUCUCCAUGUCCUAGAAUUGUUGUUAAAAAGAAAAAAAGCUGUGUGGAGAAAGCUUGGUUUUAGGUUAUGAACUGUUAAUGACACUCUGGGAAGAGCGGGGUUAAUAUUUAAUCCUCGCAGGAUUUCCCCAAAUAAAACGAUCUUCCUCAUUGUAUUUGCUUGGUUGGAAUGUUUCCUUGAACUCUGAAGAGUCAAUUCCCUUCAUGGAGAAUAUAGAGAAGUGAGUGUAGAAAUUAUCCUAAAUUUAAAACUGAUAAUUCAUUUCUUCAUUCAUGUUUGCCUUUCUGGCCCUGACCACCACUGGGAUAUGGCUUCCAGAAAGUUGUCCAGAAGGGAACAAAGUUACUGGGCUGAAAAAAUAUGAAUGACCUGAAUUUUGUAUCACAUGACCUGCUGUGGCCUGUACAUUGGCUGGUCUGCAGGGAGACCUUUCCUUUGGCCAGGACUGGGUCAUAGCAUACAGAAGACAUCGCUCAGGUCAGUGGUGCAGUUAGAUAAUUUAGGCUCUGAAGUUCAUAAUCUUACGAGGAGCCUCCUCUUUAGAGGUAAAUGUACAUUAUAUCACUUCAGAAUGUGGUAGGCCUGUUCUGAUUCAUUUGGGGACCCUUCUACUCAUUUUGCUGAAUGGGCUGUGGAUGUCCACCCCAAAAGCCCCGGUCUGAGGGGAUCACUGCUUCAGGUUCUAAGUUCCAAAUAUGCUACAGAAUUUGGUUCUGACAUAAGCUACGAACAGCAACAUAUUGGCGCUAUCAGACCUCUCACUAUAAUUGGCACAAUAAGAUUCUAGUUUCACUUCAGUGACUCAAACCCAGAGAUUUCACUUCCUCUUGUAACUCCAAAAGUAAAAUAAAAGAAAGAGUAUCAGCAUCAAGAUAUUCUUGAUGCUCUGACUGCUUUGAGCUCAAGGAAGUAAUUAGCAAACAGUGACAUCUUAAUAGGUGUGAUUAAAAAGGAACACAUUAUUUCAUUAGCACAGAGGGUUUUUUAUUUAAAAAAUGAACUCAAAGGCUUGCUAAAUUUUCAGCUUAAUUACUACGGAGUGUAGAAAAUAAGUAAUCCAAUAAUCAAGAAGAAGAAAAAGAUAAAAAGGAUGUUAUAUAUCCUUUCGAACAGUAUAAUUUAAUCGUAUUCAGUUUGAAUUUUUCUUUGCACCCAAGCUGGCUCAAAGCAAAGACUUUGAACUUAACCCCACUAAGAUUUUCCUUCUCAUUGAGUCUACCCCACCUCUUUAUUUUGACCAAGUACAAAAUCAAAGCCUGAAAAAAUCAGUUUUCAUGCCUCAGGUUUAGGACACCAAACAGCAUGGAUCAUAGAUUGAUGCAUAAGCAUACUGCAUCAGAAUGCAAAUUAAUGAGUCACACUCUAGCACAGCUGAGCUGCCUUAUACUUACCUCAAAGAAAAAGGAUAAGAGGGCUAUCAACUGCUGAGUCAUCUUAUAUAACAGAAUCAGGGAUGGAUCAGAACUCCUCUCUCUGGAAACGAGGUCACGGGGUGGGGAAGGAUUUCAAUGUUUUAUUGCCCAGGGAAGAGGAGGAGAGGCUGGCAAGAGUCAGGGCUAGGAAGGCAGAGGAAACUGGAGAUGAGAUUUCUGUAAGAACUUCUGCAUUAGGCGAAAACUCAGUGGGGAUUCUGCAAAACUAGCCUCUAGCUUUCCAGAGCAUUCCCACAUUAACAGAUGCUUUGAAUUGUCUCACUGGGAACCUCUUUGAAAUGCAAAUCUAACAAGUCUCUCUUCACAUGCAUCUAUUGCUUUUUGAUUGAAAGUGUUUAUUGGGGAGGGGGGAGAUUUGAUGCUGAAAGGAGAUGACACACUUCCACCUAAGGCAAGGCUUCAAUUCCCAUCUUCAGUCUGAAUUAUGAAACAUUGCACUCAACUACCCCAGACUGAAGUAGUUGACUAAUUUUUAAUUACCUGACCUCUGUUGCUAAUGACAGUGGCAGACUUUGGUCUUUAACAUUUUAGUGGUGCCCUGUGCGAGGUGUUCCCCCGCCUCUUGCCUUCCGUUCUGCUCAAUUCACUAUAAUUGUGAAGCCCUUCUGUACCCGCUCCUGUCAGUGCCCAGUGCAGCAGAACUGGUUGCACUCCCCGCAAUUCGUUUCUGUUAAUGACUCAGGGGACUGUAGACUAGACUACCGUAAAAUGCACUAUAUAGGGCUGUCUAAGAAGAAGGACGCGGGCGGCGCUGUGGGUUAAACCACAGAGCCUAGGACUUGCCGAUCAGAAGGUUGGCGGUUCGAAUCUCCGCGACGGGGCGAGCUCCCGUUGCUCGGUUCCUGCUCCUGCCAACCCAGCAGUUCGAAAGCACGUCCAAGUGCAAGUAGAUAAAUAGGUACCGCUCCGGCGGGAAGGUAAACGACAUUUCCAUGCAUUGCUCUGGUUCACCAGAAGCGGCUUAGUCAUGCAGGCCACAUGACCUGGAAGCUGGAUGCAGGCUCCCUUGGCCAAUAAAGCGAGAUGAGUGCUGCAACCCCAGAGUCGGUCAUGACUGGACCUAAUGGUCAGGGGUCCCUUUACCUUUACCUUUAAGAAGAUAGAAGGGAGGUGGCUGUUGGGGCACAUCCUUUGCAUUAAACAGGACUACAGUUCAGUCCCACCUCUCUUUUUCUUACUUUGAUACUAUGAAGCUGCUUGGAGAAGUUUCACAGCAGACAUGUCGUUUUCUGUGUCAUUGUACAUAACAAAGAUCAAUAAUACAUACAUAGGAAAAAAAUGGCUAUCUCCAUCAGCACAGCAUAGGGAAAAGCCAUCUUUUUGUUUGUACAAACACCUUUUAUUGCACAGAAAUGGCAUGCAAUCUCUUCUUUUUAAAAUCAGCUUUGGGUUCAUUGGGUGGCAGAGGUGCCACCCUCGAUACUGUUCAUGCUUCCUUACCUGGAGAUGCCAGGGAUUGAACCUGUGGCCUUUUGAAUGGAAAGCACAUGUUCUUCCCACUAAGCUAUGGCUUCUGCAGCGAAUGUCAUCCCUAAUCAGCACAUACUUAACUGUAAAAUACCCAGAAGCGGCAAGUGAGAUAUGACCACGCCUCACCUCAUGCAUUUUGUCAAGUGAAGUGGUACUUCCAUUACCAGGCCACAUGCUAUGCUCACCAUAGUGAUUAGCAGCUUAGUACAAAUUAUCAUGUGAAUCCUAGGUAUCACAAAUUAUAUAUUCUCAACUCUGCCAGCAGCAUCCUGUAACAUCAGCUAGGGAUCAGAGAAAUGUACUUGAAUCUUAGAGCAUUCCUCUAAGAAUCAUCCACAAGCCUGCUGGAGAGCCAAACUCUCAGGGGAGACUAAAUAAAUGCAUGUAUAGAUGUUGAUAUGGCUGCCAGACUCCCCUAAAUUCAUGGGUCCAGUUGGUGCCAGAAUUUGAGGUGUUAAGACUUGGGUGCAAACCCCAUGAGUAUUAACCCAGACUUGUGUGUUUUAAGCUGUGUGCUAGACACAUCUAAAGCCCUUGGAAUCAGCUAAUCAAGACCAAUUUGCACCGAGUUGUGUGCUAGACAAUUGUGCUAGACAAUUAUAAUAUUUUAAUUAAGACACCUCACCUAUGUGAGGUGAUAGCUUGGGGGAUGAGCCAUUAAGACAACAAAGAGGAUCAAAAAGGGCCCUCCCUCAAAAUAUAAAGUAGAGUUAAUACUAUGAGCCCCUCCUUCAUAGGCUCAGGUUUUAUAUAUUUGUAAAUAAACCAUAUAUAAUAAAGACACGAAAGG
This is a non-coding RNA of Podarcis lilfordi (Lilford's wall lizard), 4934 nucleotides long. NCBI's taxonomy places the organism in Eukaryota, Metazoa, Chordata, Lepidosauria, Squamata, Lacertidae. The record is from the annotation of a GenBank genome assembly.